GGAACUGCAUGCUCGCCUCUGAGAGAACGUCGUACGUUCAUUCUCCAAGGGAUUGAUUACUCGUUUCAGGUGUUUGAUUUAAUUUCUACUAUUAUUAUAGAAGGAUAUUAAAAUCCAACUUUAUUUCUUUGUAUAAGGCUUCAUGGACCUCCUGGCUUAUGAAGAGCCUGAAAUGCUGAGAAGUCACCUAUGUUUCAUCUACAAAGCCCAGAGCAUAGGCAGCAUGUUGCAGAUAGCUUGAAUCGAGGUGUCCUUGAUAUGCUACAGAUACGAUGUUUAGCUCCUACCAUUAUAAGCUUUAUUUCCCAGAAUAUGAUUAAGAUCUUCCUCUAUGAUUAACAAUAGUGCAUGCUAAUCUUCCGACACAUUCAUUGUUGGAGAGUGGUACAUCAAGCAACUGUG
RNAcentral lists this long non-coding RNA (402 nucleotides) under Zea mays. Its description in RNAcentral is "long non-coding RNA (ZMAY_LNC001971)". Lineage: Eukaryota; Viridiplantae; Streptophyta; Magnoliopsida; Poales; Poaceae. The record is from RNAcentral.